Non-coding RNA from Misgurnus anguillicaudatus (oriental weatherfish), 3511 nucleotides. NCBI's taxonomy places the organism in Eukaryota, Metazoa, Chordata, Actinopteri, Cypriniformes, Cobitidae. The record is from RefSeq and is a predicted model, not a curated record.
UUCUUUCAUUUUUAAUGGAAAAAUCUAUAUUUUGAGUUAGUUUCUGAAUAAAAAGAAGUUUUGAUUACAUUUCUAGCGAGAAAUAUAUACUUUAUUUUCAUAAUAUUCACUCAGUGAAUUUACAUAAUCAUCGCUUGCUUGAUUUUACGCAGAUUUUCCAGAUCUCGCCAGAAUAAUGUGAAACUGAUACGUUUUGGUUGCUAUGGACACUGCCAGGGCUCGUCACAUGACGUCUUUUAAAGACUUUAUUAAAACCGCGUUCAGCUACAGGUAAAACAACAUUCAGAGGUGAUUUUAACAACGCUCCACGGCGCGUGAGAGUAAGCAUUUUAAGCGUUUUCUGAUCAUGUAGGUAAGUGCUUUUAUUAGACGUGAUGCAUGCUGGGUGGGAAAUUAUUUUUUAUCAAAGACUCGUUGAUGGUAAUUAAUAUAGAUAUGAAUAUACAUUUUGCAACCCUGUAUCACAUGAAAUACGUUCUGAGGAAACUAUUUUGCAAAUCGCAAUUACGUUAACGUUACAUGCCAACAUAUAAGCAGUGCUAUUACGUUGGUCCUUAACCUAAUAUGACCCGUCGCCAUGGACACAAGGGGUCGGAUAUCUAAAGUUAAAUAUUUUUAACUUACGCGUGAAAUGGUUGAUUUUAAAAAUAUAUAUAUUCUAAGUAAACAACAACAGCCCAGGUUUAGUAAACAUUUUUUUAUUGAAACUAUAAAUAAAUAUUCUGCAUCCAUUUUAGGUGUGCCACUGUGGGUGGCUCCCGCACACCCCCGUGGCUAGUACGCCCCUGCCGUGACCCAAAUCUCGUUCGCACAUCAUCGCGAUGUUUAUCAUCAAUUUACAAACCUCGCCAGUCGCCUCAUCUUUUUUCUUCACAUACAUCUCAUACUCCUCCAUCUACACGCUCCACAACAUUUAAACCAACGGCUCUUUUAAGAGCUAUCACUUGCAAAAGCUCUCCUCACUCACUCACUCACUCACUCUCCAACUCACUCACUCACUCUCCAACUCACUCACUCAUGCUGCGUCCGAAACCGCCUACUACAUACUAUAUAGUACGCGAAAAGCAGUAGGCGAAGCGAGUAGUAUGUCCGAAUACAUAGUAUUCGAAAAACAGUAUGCGAAAAGUACCCGGAUGACCUACUACUUCCGGUUAGAUUUUGCAGUGUGCAUACGAUGGACGCUACACUAUCCCAUGAUGCCCCGGACGAGGAGUUAUCCAACGAAGAAGAAGAGGCACGCGGCUGUUUUCGCGCUGAAAUGACAUGACGUGAUGACGACGUAUGUCACGUGAUAUAGCAACAUGGCGGAUGUAGUAUGUCCGAAUCUCAUUCAUACUACCAGGAUUCAUACUAUACAGUACCUACUGUUUUAACGCCAAGUAAGUAGGUACUUCAUCUAAUUCAGUACCUACUAUACAGUAUGCGGUUUCGGACGCAGCCUCACUCUCCAACUCAUUCUCCAACUCACUCACUCACUCACUCACUCACUCUCCUAUAGGGCUGUGCAAAAAAAUCGUCUGCAAUUCUCAUGCGUGUUUCAUCAGUAAAGCCGGUUCCGUGAUUAGAAGUAAAUCGCCAUCAGCUGCUUUCAGAUGGAGCGGCAUUUAUUACACAGACACGUAGUUCACCAAAAAGCUAGGCAAAAUUGCAUAGAUUAUCGGAGUCGAUUUUCCUCGAUUUGAACCCGAUUUUGCCUAGCUUCUCUGUGAACUACGUGUCUGUGUAAUAAAUGCCGCUCCAUCUGAUAGCAGCUGAUGGCGAUUUACUUCUAAUCUAAACGGAACCGGCUUUACUGAUGAAACACGCAUGAGAAUUGCAGACGAUUUUUUUUUGCACAGCCCUACUCUCCUACGCUUUCACACUCACACGCGCGCACACACACACACACACACACACACACACACUCUCUCACUCUCUGUUUGUCCCUCUUUCAAUUUGUUUUGCCUAUUUCUAUUUGCAUUCUUCAUUCUUUCAAUAUGGCAUCUUCAGGUUUUGACCAGUUAUGUCAGGAAGCUGCAACUAUUUCAAAGCAUCUUGAAAUGAAAGCUGACAAUGCUGAACUUGAAGCAGCUACCAGAGAGGCUGAAGAAAUUCUACAAAUGUUCAAUCCUCCACUGCUGAAAAAGAAGACCAAACGAGUGAUUUCCUGGACUCAACAGACACAGUGAACUUUGCACUGCAUUUCAAAGAGGAUGCCAGAGGUACCGGAAGGCUCCCCUACCAAUCCCUGGUAAAUCAUGGCAUGACAGUUAAAGUUGCAGGACUGCCCAACAGCCUCAAAAAGCCAUCCUAUUAUGGAAGGAACCAGUUGGAGGCCAUUUUGCAAGCUGCUGAGGAGAUUUCAUUUGAAAUCAAUGCAGCACAAUGCAACUCCACUGACAAAGCAGAAGGAAUGUUAGAGGCGAUGGACGCAGAAGAGCUGGAAGAACAGUCCUCAGAAACAGCCAUCGCUGUAGCUAUCGUGAUGACUGCAGAUUAAGAUGGAGGCCAUUUGUGCUGUGUCUGCCGCAUCCUUUUCGAUGACAGCAAGAAGAAUGCUUCAGAGAAGUGGCGUUCAUGGUCACAGUGCACAGUGUGCCAAUCAUGGUCACACACUGCAUGUCAAGACACAAUGCAAACAGCCUGUAGCGAUGCAUCAGUGAUAGAAAACAUGCUAGUUACACAAAAUGUUUUAUGUUUUAACUAUGAGUUGUUUUUAUUUUGUUCAUGACCCCAUCCCUACAAACACACACACAUAUAUUUUUUUUUUUUAAGUAUUAGGUGCAAUUUAAUAUUUUUCAUGCAAAUGUAUUGUAAUGAUUACACUUAUAAGAAUAAAACAGAUUUUAAAUUCACUCUAAUUUUUAUUUAUUGUUGUCAUUUGUUGGCACCAUAAGUGUGGUCCCUUUACCUGGGACAUGUGGGGACCAAUUAAUAUCUAUUGUACUGAAUUUAGGCCACAUGUUGUAAAUGAUAAGUAGCCUAUUGUUUCAUCUUUUAUCAAUGCUUCGGUAUGGUUGGGUGUUGGCAAGGACCUCACCAUACUUUUCAAUACAGUGAGUCAAAGAUCGAUUUCAUGUUAUGAUUAAAUACUUUACAUAACUUUAACAACUUUUUCGCAGUCUUGCUGUCACUGAGAGGUAUUUGGCAAAUUUGAUAUUGAAAAGUUGGUUUAUGUCAGAGCAGUAGUGAUACUUGUGGAUACUUUGAUAUACAACUGAACAGUACAAUUUAAAUAUAAUGGUUGCUAUGAACGAUGAUGAGGAUGAUGAUGUUAUGUGUAUCUGCUUUAUCAAAGUGAUUUUCCUCCAUCAUACAGAUGAAGUUUAAGCAAAUCUCUAUUACCACAUUUAAUGUUAUGAAAAGAACCAUCAUGACAGAAAUAUAUAUUUAUAUAUGAAUUGAAAGUAAUAAAAAAAAAUGAGACCAGAAACCCACCAUGAGUUAAAAAACUGGCUAUGCUCAGUUGUAAGGACUUUUUUGAAAUGAUUAAGUAAUUUGACAUUAUGUGUCAUUUUGUGUUUUAAAUUAA